UACAGAGGGUGCGAGCGUUAAUCGGAAUUACUGGGCGUAAAGCGCGCGUAGGCGGCUUUGCAAGUCGGGUGUGAAAUCCCCAGGCUUAACCUGGGAACUGCAUUCGAGACUGCAUUGCUAGAGUAUGGGAGAGGGAAGUGGAAUUUCCGGUGUAGCGGUGAAAUGCGUAGAUAUCGGGAGGAACAUCAGUGGCGAAAGCGACUUCCUGGACCAAUACUGACGCUCAUGUGCGAAAGCGUGGGGAGCAAACAGG
This 253-nucleotide ribosomal RNA is filed under the name uncultured bacterium. RNAcentral describes it as "partial 16S ribosomal RNA". It matches the Rfam family "Bacterial small subunit ribosomal RNA", at positions 524 to 776 of the family's 1533-position model. The record is from RNAcentral.